This 468-nucleotide ribosomal RNA is filed under the name uncultured bacterium. RNAcentral describes it as "partial 16S ribosomal RNA". It matches the Rfam family "Bacterial small subunit ribosomal RNA", at positions 28 to 507 of the family's 1533-position model. The record is from RNAcentral.
GACGAACGCUGGCGGCGUGCUUAACACAUGCCAGUCGAACGGAAAGGCCCUGCUUUUGUGGGGUGCUCGUGUGGCGAACGGGUGAGUAACACGUGAGUAACCUGCCCUUGACUUUGGGAUAACUUCAGGAAACUGGGGCUAAUACCGGAUAGGAGCUCCUGCUGCAUGGUGGGGGUUGGAAAGUUUCGGCGGUUGGGGAUGGACUCGCGGCUUAUCAGCUUGUUGGUGGGGUAGUGGCUUACCAAGGCUUUGACGGGUAGCCGGCCUGAGAGGGUGACCGGCCACAUUGGGACUGAGAUACGGCCCAGACUCCUACGGGAGGCAGCAGUGGGGAAUAUUGCACAAUGGGCGGAAGCCUGAUGCAGCAACGCCGCGUGCGGGAUGACGGCCUUCGGGUUGUAAACCGCUUUCGCCUGUGACGAAGCGUGAGUGACGGUAAUGGGUAAAGAAGCACCGGCUAACUACGUG